GCCGGACCCGGCGAGCGGGUUCCCGGACGAGGGAGCCGUACCCGGAAGCGCGACAAGACGGCCACGAA
RNAcentral lists this non-coding RNA (68 nucleotides) under Saccharomonospora sp. RNAcentral also lists the same sequence under 1 other name. The record is from RNAcentral. Lineage: Bacteria; Bacillati; Actinomycetota; Actinomycetes; Pseudonocardiales; Pseudonocardiaceae.